GAUGAACGCUGGCGGCGUGCCUAAUACAUGCAAGUCGAGCGAACGGACGAGAAGCUUGCUUCUCUGAUGUUAGCGGCGGACGGGUGAGUAACACGUGGAUAACCUACCUAUAAGACUGGGAUAACUUCGGGAAACCGGAGCUAAUACCGGAUAAUAUUUUGAACCGCAUGGUUCAAAAGUAAAAGACGGUCUUGCUGUCACUUAUAGAUGGAUCCGCGCUGCAUUAGCUAGUUGGUAAGGUAACGGCUUACCAAGGCAACGAUGCAUAGCCGACCUGAGAGGGUGAUCGGCCACACUGGAACUGAGACACGGUCCAGACUCCUACGGGAGGCAGCAGUAGGGAAUCUUCCGCAAUGGGCGAAAGCCUGACGGAGCAAUGCCGCGUGAGUGAUGAAGGUCUUCGGAUCGUAAAACUCUGUUAUUAGGGAAGAACAUAUGUGUAAGUAACUGUGCACAUCUUGACGGUACCUAAUCAGAAAGCCACGGCUAACUACGUG
This 497-nucleotide ribosomal RNA is filed under the name uncultured bacterium. Its description in RNAcentral is "partial 16S ribosomal RNA". It matches the Rfam family "Bacterial small subunit ribosomal RNA", at positions 28 to 507 of the family's 1533-position model. The record is from RNAcentral.